This is a small nuclear RNA of Cercocebus atys (sooty mangabey), 102 nucleotides long. NCBI's taxonomy places the organism in Eukaryota, Metazoa, Chordata, Mammalia, Primates, Cercopithecidae. The record is from Ensembl.
UUGCUUUGGCAGCAUGUAUACUGGAAUUGGAAUGAUACAGAGAAGACUAGUGUGACAUUGCACAAAGAUGACAUGCAAAUUCAUGAAGCAGUUCAUAUUAAU